UACGGGGGGGGCAAGCGUGGUUCGGAAUUACUGGGCGUAAAGGGCGCGUAGGCGGCUCUUCAAGUCGGGCGUGAAAUCUUCAGGCUUAACCUGGAAGGGUCGUUCGAUACUGUCGAGCUAUAGUGUGGAAGAUGCUACUGGAAUUCCGUGUGUAGCGGUGAAAUGCGUAGAGAUACGGAGGAACACCAGAGGCGAAGGCGGGUAGCUGGGCCAACACUGACGAUGAGGCGCGAAAGACAGGAGAGCAAACGGG
This 253-nucleotide ribosomal RNA is filed under the name uncultured bacterium. Its description in RNAcentral is "partial 16S ribosomal RNA". It matches the Rfam family "Bacterial small subunit ribosomal RNA", at positions 524 to 776 of the family's 1533-position model. The record is from RNAcentral.